GGGUCGCUAGUUUAUCGGUAGAACACUUUCCUGAUAAGAAAGAGGUGCUUGGUUCGAUUCCAAGGCGACCCA
Candidatus Roizmanbacteria bacterium is the source of this 72-nucleotide non-coding RNA. NCBI's taxonomy places the organism in Bacteria, Candidatus Roizmaniibacteriota. The record is from Rfam.